Ostrea edulis (European flat oyster) is the source of this 1979-nucleotide long non-coding RNA. RefSeq lists it as uncharacterized. The transcript has 3 exons. NCBI's taxonomy places the organism in Eukaryota, Metazoa, Mollusca, Bivalvia, Ostreida, Ostreidae. The record is from RefSeq and is a predicted model, not a curated record.
GAAAAAAGAACUUGACAACUUGUCAUAAUGGGUAAAAGGUGUAAGAGGAAUAUUAAAAUAAGGUAUUAGAACCAUUAAAACAAAGGUGAAGAUAACGAACAGUGAUCAAUCUCAUAACCCCUACCAACUAUCCUGCUGUGUUUAGUAAACCAGAGGCGAUAAAAGAAACAGAUAGGUUUAAUACACAAGGAAUAUGUGUUGGUUCCAUCUGACGAAGCUUGUAACAGCACUGUAUUUGUUUGUAAGGUUCAUUAUUACAACUGUUCUUAAAGGAACCUGGCAUUAAUUCCACAUCUGGUAAUCCUAAUUAUGCUUCAACCUCCCUUUCAAAACAUAAAAUUCAUCAACAUCAUGAUUCAGUUUCCAACACAUUUGAUAUCCCUGACAUAUGAGUUACUGUACCUAUACUGGAUUCCUAAACUUCAUAAAACCCUUACAAACAAAGAUACAUUGAUGGAUCCAGUAAGUGUUUUACCAAGCCCCUAUCUGUGACCCUCAUGAAGAUAUUUACAGCAGUGAAGAAGACAAUUCAAACGCACUGUGCCACUACAGAUGUCAGAAGUGCUGUAAAUCACACGUGGAUUCUAAAAACUUUCAGUCAAUUUGAAAUCACAAAACUUUUUUUCAAAUCAACAAACUCAAAACGUGUGACUAUUCAACACUUUACACGACCAUUCACCACGAUUAAUUAAAGAUCAGACUUUUUAAAAUCCAAGAAAGUUGCUUCUUCAAUGUAAAACUUGUACGGUACCAAUUUUGAUGCACCAGAUGCGAAUUUCGACAAAUAGUGUCUCUUCAGUGAUGCUCAAGCCGAAAGUUUGGAAAUUCGAAAUAACAAUAAACUUGUAAGAGCUAAAAGGAAAACUAAAGUGCCAAAAACUGGAACCAAAUUCAUCCAAGGAUAGAGCUGUGCAUGAGUUAAUUUUGAAAUGAAUUUUUAAAAUAAAAAUAAAAUUUCUUCAAUAAAAGUAGAAAAAGGAAAUUUUCUGAUCAGUCAUUCAAAACAUUACUUUGUUAUACACUACUCUGGUUCUACGCACAAGUACUCCGAAGUUGAUAUCUAAAUAAUGCUGGAGUUUCUCAUUGACAAUAUCUUCGUAGUCUUCCAACAUGUACAUGUAGCAUUUAUUCAAAAGCCACUAUGUGAGAAGAAAAUUUUUUGUUGUUGUUGUCUUAAACUCGAUAUUUAGAUAUAUCACCAUGCGCAAUGUAAAUUUAAACUUGAUUAGUCACGUGAUCGAGACAUGUAAUGUACCAUGAUAUCCCUUAUAUCAGGUAUUAUUAGAAAAUAGUUUUUAAUUGUACUGAUAUUGUUAUGUCUAGAAUUCGUGCUUUAUUUCUUAACCAUAUACUAAAACAUUAUAAUAUGAAAACGUAGUAAACAACCUAGUAUUAAAUGCAGAUACCGUGCUGUAAAAGAGAUUAAGCUCCUGGUAAAGUUAAACAUUAUUAACAUAAUUAAAAUGUAUGCAUCAUGAUUGUGUGUAAAAUUUGUCGUACUUAAAUCGUCUUGUCUACAAUGAUAAAUGUUGUGCAUUAUGGGAAAUACCAGAAUACAUUUGUUAUCUAUUUCUCAUGUUUGUGAGAAAAACAUCAUGAAGUGUAAAAGUGUAUUUUUGCUAUCUAUAAUUCUUCUGAUUCUAGUGACGACAGAUUCAUUUUGGUGGGGAAGGAAGGGUAAAGUGCAUCAUACGAAAAUUCAAAGAGACGGGGCAGAUAAUAGAAACAAACACAGACAAGCACGGAGUGGGACAGGUAAAGGCGGGGAAAAACGACCAAAAAACCUUCCUGAUGUUCUAUGCAGCUUUUGUAAGAAAACUGGCACGUGUGCACCAAACUUCUGUGCAGGAUGAAAAUUAUGUACUUUAUUUUAUCUAAACAAUCUCUUAAAAACUUGUAUACAUAUUAUAUGUAAACUUUUAUCAUUGUACUCACAAACUGAAUAAAUAUGUGAAGCAUGAACGGCACAUAAUCAUAUA